Molecule: long non-coding RNA, 686 nt
Organism: Hemicordylus capensis (graceful crag lizard)
Lineage: Eukaryota; Metazoa; Chordata; Lepidosauria; Squamata; Cordylidae
Exons: 4
Source: RefSeq, a predicted model, not a curated record
CUUCCCUUUGUCAGUUGUAAGCACAAAUUCUGGUUGCGAAGAAUAGUUGAACUUUGGAACCUAAUGGCAUUCAUGUUACAUAAUAUGUAAUGCAGAACCAGAAUUGAAUCCUGACCAGGCACAACAUCCCUUACCUAGCCUUGGAUAUAAUGAGAGAUUUUGGCUUGUUCUAAUUUUAAGCCAGAAUCAGAAGGAUAAUCCUUUCUCUCAUGGUAGAAGUAAGGCAGCGGGGUUCAUACACAACUGAUCCUAGAAAAUGUCUUGUGAAACUAACAUGGACAUAGUCCUGGCUGCAUGUUAUGUUUCAUAAUUUGACCGCCUUCUUCUUGGUGUGUUGCGUGUUAAAGGAGCUCUCAAAUGGGUUGCUGGCAGAAAAGAGCAAUUCUGUGAUGAGUGGUUCCAGAGAAAUCGAUCAGGCAGAGGUCACCCAAACUGGAGCUAAAGAGAAUAAUAUUUUCAACUGCGGAUAUCACACAAAACUGGAGUUAAAAGCAAGCCAAUUGUAAAAUGAGUCUUUCAUAAGGACAGGCUUGCGUGAUAAGGCCCAAGGUCUGUUUAGUCCAGCAUCCUGUUGCCCACAGUGGCCCACCAGAUGCUUUGCGGAAGCCCACAACUAAGAGAUUAAGGCAUGUCCCCUGCAACUGGUAUUUGGAGGAAUUUCAGAAUGGCUUAUUUCUAGCAUGCUC